GUAUAACAAUAUAAUAAAAUUUAUUGCAAUGUAAUGUAAUUUUUGUCUAUAUAAGUAUUUUUUACCCUUUAUCCAUCCUUUAGUCAAGGUUAUAAGUUUAUCCGUGUAAAAGAUAUGACAAGUUUGUCAUAAGCUUAUAUGCUAUCUAGGAUGGGUAUUACAUUUUGCUACCAUUUUUUUUUAUCUGCCAGUCUUAAAUUGUCUACCUAACCAGCCCAGAUACCUGAAGGAUUAAAUUAAAAAGGCUUUUGGUAACUUCAAAUACAACGAAACACCCUGCAGAUUUAAUUUUGUUUUAACUCACUGUUUACACGAAAAUCUUUUACAGUAUCCACAAGUCGACAAUGGGGGCCUUUGCGUGAGCGGGCAGACUGUACACCAACUCAAACAGAGACUCCGGGGAUACACGCCCAGGAGAAAAGUUUGCCUGCUCAUUGGUACCAACGACCUAUUACAGCUCUCCAAGGCGACAGUGCCACUGGCAAAGGCGUUAAGAAAACUUUUAAAGAAGUUGAAAAUCAUCCUAAACUAUUUAACCAGGAAGUGCGAAAAAGUGGCUUUAUGUACAAUUCCAUCAAUUCCCGCUCUGGAAUUUAGUAGACCGCUUGAGCGGGAGCGCUACCACCACUGCAGGGACUUUUUUGAACAAUAACAUAGCCAGCGAAGCAGUGUUGCCUCCCAUCGAAUAGGAGACAUUUCUGGGGUAGGACCUUACUCAUCUUCAAAACAUGCAUCCAAGUGUUUCACUGAGGGACUAAGAAGAGAACUCGCCAGUCAAAAGUCCAAGAUAAAAGUCACUAGCAUAAGCCCUGGGGUGGUGGAUACUGAGAUUUUUGAAGCCAAC
Macrosteles quadrilineatus (aster leafhopper) is the source of this 844-nucleotide long non-coding RNA. RefSeq lists it as uncharacterized. The transcript has 4 exons. NCBI's taxonomy places the organism in Eukaryota, Metazoa, Arthropoda, Insecta, Hemiptera, Cicadellidae. The record is from RefSeq and is a predicted model, not a curated record.